AUGUCUAUGUGGCUCAUGAAUAAAACUUUCAUCGAGCAUUUAUACAAACAUAGAAGAAAGUUUUUCUGGCAAGGGUGCAAUAAGAAGAGGAGGUACCAUCUGGUUAGAUGGGAUAGGAUCUACAGAUCUAGAGAUAAGGGUGGCCUGGGUGUUAAAGAUUUACACAAGCAGAAUGUUAGUUCGAUGGUCAAGUGGUGGUGGAAACUAGAGACCCAAACGGGUAUGUGGCAAGAUAUUGUUCGGGCGCGCUACCUGACUAACAAAUCUGUGACGUCGGUUAAGCCCAGAUUUUCUGAUUCCCCUUGUUGGAAAGCCCUGCUUAAAGUCAAAGAUAUCUACUUGGUAGGUAGAAAAAUCCAUUUGGAAUCUGGCGACCUCGUUAGAGUCUGGAUAGAUUCCAUAAACGGGCUGAGUCCUUUUCAGACCCUUUACCCUUCGUUGUUUGAGAUCUGUAAUAAUCAGGAUUGCACUAUUGACAGAUUCAAGUUUGUGGAUGUCCACUCUUUCUUCAGA
This 513-nucleotide ribosomal RNA is filed under the name Triticum aestivum (bread wheat). RNAcentral's name for it is "partial small subunit ribosomal RNA". The record is from RNAcentral. Lineage: Eukaryota; Viridiplantae; Streptophyta; Magnoliopsida; Poales; Poaceae.